GAAUUUGCAGAUCAAGGCAAAUCAAAUUCAAUCAACUUCAAGUUCAUCAUCAAUAAUCAUCAACUCAUUGCAAAUCAUGCGAGAUCAACAUCAUAGGAAAGAUUAAAACAAGCCCACUUCUUAAGAGAAGUUGAUUCCAAUUGCCGUCAAAUUAAUAGUCGAAAAAAUGAUCAUCAUGAGGACAUACAAAUCAGCCACAAAUGAAUUAGAACAUAAUGCAUAACUAAUGGUAAAGAGUAGUUCUAAAAAUGAAUCACAGCAAACCUUACAACCUUAAAAAGAGUCGACAAAAGUAACAAACCAUGUUUCUAUUUGUACAAAUUUCUGCUUAUAUCCGCCAACUUCA
Molecule: long non-coding RNA, 346 nt
Filed under: Eucalyptus grandis
Lineage: Eukaryota; Viridiplantae; Streptophyta; Magnoliopsida; Myrtales; Myrtaceae
Description: long non-coding RNA (EGRA_LNC006024)
Source: RNAcentral